RNAcentral lists this ribosomal RNA (254 nucleotides) under uncultured bacterium. RNAcentral's name for it is "partial 16S ribosomal RNA". It matches the Rfam family "Bacterial small subunit ribosomal RNA", at positions 524 to 776 of the family's 1533-position model. The record is from RNAcentral.
UACGUAGGGUGCGAGCGUUGUCCGGAAUUAUUGGGCGUAAAGAGCUCGUAGGCGGUGUGUCACGUCGGCCGUGAAAACCUGCAGCUUAACUGUGGGCGUGCGGUCGAUACGGGCAUCACUGGAGUUCGGCAGGGGAGACUGGAAUUCCUGGUGUAGCGGUGAAAUGCGCAGAUAUCAGGAGGAACACCGGUGGCGAAGGCGGGUCUCUGGGCCGAUACUGACGAUGAGGAGCGAAAGCGUGAGGAGCAAACAGG